Molecule: long non-coding RNA, 1706 nt
Organism: Rosa rugosa (rugosa rose)
Lineage: Eukaryota; Viridiplantae; Streptophyta; Magnoliopsida; Rosales; Rosaceae
Exons: 4
Source: RefSeq, a predicted model, not a curated record
AUAAUACUUUGAUUCAUUUCUAUGCAGAAUGCGGGGACUUGGAUUAUGCCCGGAAGGUGUUUGAUGAAAUGCUUGAGAGAAACGUUGUGUCGUGGACUAGUUUGAUUUGUGGUUAUGGUUGGAGGAACAUGCCAAAGGAGGCUGUUUUCUUUGUUUUUGGAGAUGGUGGUUGCCGGGAUUAAACCCAAUCCCUAGUAUGCCUCCAUUAUCUCUGAGCCGUACUUCAGGGGCAAUGAGACUACAGGAAAUUAAAUUCAUCCUUAAUCUAUGAGACUAAAUUCAGAAGGGAACAUACUGGCUCUCCAUGUCUCUCUCUCUCUCUCUCUCUUUUCCUUUCUUUCUGGAAUAUGCAUCUGCUGCGACUUUUAUCUCGGUGCAAUUUUCUUCAAACUAAAGGAGUAAUCUUUGUUCCUUCUGCUUGUCAUUUACAGGUGAGUUCCAAAGCUUUCUUUGAGGUUGUUCCUAAAACAACAGAAGAUGUCCGAGCCCUGUGCACGGGCAAGCAAAUCAUCCUUCUUCGCUUUUCUAUCUUUUCCUUGGAGUUGAGGCAUUGAUGCUAGCACAUGAUAUGAGAAAAUGCAGAAGCAUAUGAUCAUGAAGAUUCUUUCAAGCCAACUAAUGGCUAUCAGCAACUAAAACUUAAUUACCUGUCUACUGUCUACAAACUCCUCUGAUAAAAGCAUUUCCAUAAUAUAAUAGUUACCAUAAUAAUCCUAUAAUGGCUAUUAGUAGCAUGGUGCUUUGGAUCUGGUAGGAGCCUGAGAUUGGCUACGUGAAAUAAUGGCUACGUCAAAAUUGUUUGUAGCAGCCCUCAAUUGAUUCCUUUGUUGUAGGAGAAUAAUGGUGGUAAUCAGCUAGCUAGGACAUGCAGAUUAGUUCAUACAACUUGGUUGAUAUGAUCCAUUAUUAAAGUUUGUAUUAUGGUUCUUUUUCUCUGCUUUCAUUUUGUUACUAUGCUGCUAGGUGAUUGAUAUCAUUCAAUUUGUUUGUCUUUUCCAUUUGCAGUGGGGACUAUAGAUUUUCCAUUCAGAAAGGUUACACAAUCUGGCCAAGUUGGCUACAUGCUGAUUGCUGAUCUAACUGAAUUAGAGACGACCGCCAAUGAGGUAGAAGCAAAGAAGUUCUAGCCUGGCUUUGGCUAAGUAUCUUGCUUCAAGGUGAUGCGGCAGAUGUGCGCUGACCUUCGUGAGGAAGAAGAAUUGUUUUUCAUUGUGUCUAAGGAUGGAAUUGAUACUUGAUACUAAGAUUAAUCACAGUCAUGCCAGGGUAGUGCAGUGGGGUGCUCCACCAAGAAGCUAUCUUAGAUUGAAUAUUGAUGGUGCCUAUGCUAGAGAGAAUGGCAUGGAGGAGUGGGGGUGAUUUUCUGACUCUUCAGGAGGCUUGAAGGGCGCCUUCUCUAGGCAUCUUCCUGCAAUCCAAAGCGAGGCAGAAGCUUGUAGAGCAGGCUUGCUUGUGGCUAUUCACCAGAGUUGGAGACAUGUUGAGGUAGAAAGUGAUUGUGCUCAGUUGCUUGCUGUGCUGAAUCUUCAAGGGGAGGAUAACUCUAAGGAAAAUUGUAGAAUUGCAAUCGAGGCAUGAGAAAUUUACUAUGACAAAUGCACCAAAGGUUCUUGGGAAAUUGUGGACACAGGAAAGCCUUCAAGACAUCCAGUUCUAGUUGCGGCAUCUGUGGGAAGCUGUGGAGCCUAUUGGGCUGAUGGUUCCGA